RNAcentral lists this ribosomal RNA (523 nucleotides) under uncultured bacterium. RNAcentral's name for it is "bacterial SSU rRNA". It matches the Rfam family "Bacterial small subunit ribosomal RNA", at positions 355 to 874 of the family's 1533-position model. The record is from RNAcentral.
UAGGGAAUUUUGCGCAAUGGGCGGAAGCCUGACGCAGCAACGCCGCGUGAGCGAUGAAGGCCUUCGGGUUGUAAAGCUCUGUUGGACGGGAAGAAAAGGCGCGUGAAGAAUGCGUUAUGACGGUACCGUUCGAGGAAGCUCCGGCUAACUACGUGCCGGCAGCCGCGGUAAUACGUAGGGAGCGAGCGUUGUUCGGAAUUACUGGGCGUAAAGGGAGCGUAGGCGGGUUUGUAAGUUAGGUGUUUAAUACAUGGGCUUAACCCAUGUCAGGCAUUUAAUACUGCAAGCCUUGAGUGCGGGAGAGGGCGAUGGAAUUCCAGGUGUAGCGGUGGAAUGCGUAGAUAUCUGGAAGAACACCGACAGCGAAGGCAGUCGCCUGGCCCGAGACUGACGCUGAAGCUCGAAAGUCGGGGGAGCAAACAGGAUUAGAUACCCUGGUAGUCCCGACCGUAAACGAUGAACACUAGCUGCCGGGGGAGUCAAUCCUCUCGGUGGCGAAGCCAACGCAUUAAGUGUUCCGCCU